Molecule: long non-coding RNA, 306 nt
Organism: Lontra canadensis (Northern American river otter)
Lineage: Eukaryota; Metazoa; Chordata; Mammalia; Carnivora; Mustelidae
Exons: 3
Source: RefSeq, a predicted model, not a curated record
CCACCUGGAGCUCGGAGUCCCCCGCAGCUGCGCUGGGUGCGGGUCUCUGUUCCUCUCCAAGAAGUCAACUCUGGCCCCGAGCCCAGCCCUGAGCUCCCUGCUACGGCCACGGCUGCCCAGCCUGCUGAACACGCCUGGCGCAGGUGUCCAAGCCCUGCUGUCGCCUCGACCCCCACCACAGCCAGCCACCUGGUGGACAAGGGAACGCGGGAACAGCACGGCAGGAGGUGGCCGUCACCCUAGGAGGGCGGCGUGCGGAAGCGGAUCUUCUUGGCUGUUUCCACGUCGGACUUGGCAACCAAAAAC